AGCGAACGCUGGCGGCAGGCUUAACACAUGCAAGUCGAACGGGCACUUCGGUGCUAGUGGCAGACGGGUGAGUAACGCGUGGGAACGUGCCUUUCGGUUCGGAAUAAUCCAGGGAAACUUGGACUAAUACCGGAUACGCCCUUCGGGGGAAAGAUUUAUCGCCGAAAGAUCGGCCCGCGUCUGAUUAGCUAGUUGGUGAGGUAAAGGCUCAUCAAGGCGACGAUCAGUAGCUGGUCUGAGAGGAUGAUCAGCCACAUUGGGACUGAGACACGGCCCAAACUCCUACGGGAGGCAGCAGUGGGGAAUAUUGGACAAUGGGCGCAAGCCUGAUCCAGCCAUGCCGCGUGAGUGAUGAAGGCCUUAGGGUUGUAAAGCUCUUUUGUCCGGGAAGAUAAUGACUGUACCGGAAGAAUAAGCCCCGGCUAACUUCGUGCCAGCAGCCGCGGUAA
RNAcentral lists this ribosomal RNA (449 nucleotides) under uncultured bacterium. RNAcentral's name for it is "partial 16S ribosomal RNA". It matches the Rfam family "Bacterial small subunit ribosomal RNA", at positions 29 to 523 of the family's 1533-position model. The record is from RNAcentral.